AGUGCAAUUUAUGCCAACAUAAAAUGAAGCUGACUCAUAAACCCAACAAAGCAGACAACUAUGUUUGGUCCUGUACACGAAACAGACAUAAGGGAAGGUUCAAGUCAGUGAGGUAUGGAUCACUUUUUGCCAAGUCAAAGUGUAAUUUAUUCUCCUGGAUGAAGUUCAUAUAUCGGUUUGCUCAAGGCCUUCAGUUGAGACAAAUCGACAUGAUUGAAGAUGGCAUUGCUGGAAG
Long non-coding RNA from Carassius carassius (crucian carp), 235 nucleotides. RefSeq lists it as uncharacterized. The transcript has 3 exons. NCBI's taxonomy places the organism in Eukaryota, Metazoa, Chordata, Actinopteri, Cypriniformes, Cyprinidae. The record is from RefSeq and is a predicted model, not a curated record.